CCUACGGGAGGCAGCAGUGGGGAAUAUUGCACAAUGGGGGAAACCCUGAUGCAGCGACGCCGCGUGAGCGAUGAAGUAUUUCGGUAUGUAAAGCUCUAUCAGCAGGGAAGAAGAUGACGGUACCUGACUAAGAAGCCCCGGCUAACUACGUGCCAGCAGCCGCGGUAAUACGUAGGGGGCAAGCGUUAUCCGGAUUUAAUGGGUGUAAAGGGAGCGUAGACGGCGAUGCAAGCCAGAUGUGAAAGCCCGGGGCUCAACCCCGGGACUGCAUUCGGAACCGUGUGGCUGGAGUGUCGGAGAGGCAGGCGGAAUUCGUAGUGUAGCGGUGAAAUGCGUAGAUAUUAGGCGGAACCCCAGUGGCGAAGGCGGCCUACUGGACGAUGACUGACGUUGAGGCUCGAAAGCGUGGGGAGCGAACAGGAUUAGAUACCCCUGUAGUC
This 440-nucleotide ribosomal RNA is filed under the name uncultured bacterium. RNAcentral's name for it is "partial 16S ribosomal RNA". It matches the Rfam family "Bacterial small subunit ribosomal RNA", at positions 338 to 795 of the family's 1533-position model. The record is from RNAcentral.